AGUGGCCCUGGCCGGCUCAGACAGGACUCUGUUCUCUCCAGCUCUCCCAUGAGAAGAACACGGUGCUGGGCUUUCGGGUUCACAGGAUGCUGCAGGCGGAGUUCCUGCAGGCCGCCCUGGUCACCAUCUACGACUACUACGAGCCUUGUACGGACCCUGCCACACCCCUGGCCAUGAAGAAAUUCGUCUCCCAUGCCACUUGCCAUGACUCCCUGGGGUUGCAAGAACAGGAAUCGUACCUCAUCAUGGGCCAGACGUCAGACCUGUGGAGAAUCAAAUCUGAUUACAGCUAUGUUCUGGGCAAGGAGACGUUCCUCAUCCUUUGGCCAGCAGAUGGAGAUGCCAGCAAGAAAGAAUUGCGGGACCAACUGGAGGAAUUUUUGGAAUAUAUGCGCACCCACGGCUGCCAGUCCUGAGCCUCUUCUGCUUUCAGGGAGGUGUCAUCAGGCAGCUCUGGGCCACUGGGUUUAACCCCAAAUAAAGAGCACAGGAUAUGACACCCAAA
Molecule: long non-coding RNA, 505 nt
Organism: Homo sapiens (human)
Lineage: Eukaryota; Metazoa; Chordata; Mammalia; Primates; Hominidae
Gene: C3P1
Product: complement component 3 precursor pseudogene
Source: Ensembl